Molecule: ribosomal RNA, 439 nt
Filed under: uncultured bacterium
Lineage: Bacteria
Description: partial 16S ribosomal RNA
Rfam family: Bacterial small subunit ribosomal RNA
Source: RNAcentral
CCUACGGGGGGCAGCAGUGGGGGAUAUUGCACAAUGGGCGAAAGCCUGAUGCAGCGACGCCGCGUGAGGGAAGACGGUCUUCGGAUGGUAAACCUCUGUCUGUGGGGAAGAAGAUGACGGUACCCAAAGAGGAAGCUCCGGCUAACGACGUGCCAGCAGCCGCGGUAAUACGUAGGGAGCGAGCGUUGUCCGGAAUUACUGGGUGGAAAGGGAGCGUAGGCGGGGAUGCAAGUGGGAUGUUUAAACUAUCGGCUCAACCGGUAAUUGCAACCCAAACUGCAACUCUUGAGUGAAGUAGAGGCAGGCGUACUUCCUCGUGUAGCGGUGACAUGCUUAGAUAUUAGGUGGAACACCAGUGGCGACGGCGGCCUGCUGGGCUUUAACUGCCGCUGAGGCUCGAAAGCGUGGGGAGCAAACAGGAUUAGAUACCCGAGUAGUC